RNAcentral lists this ribosomal RNA (451 nucleotides) under uncultured prokaryote. Its description in RNAcentral is "bacterial SSU rRNA". It matches the Rfam family "Bacterial small subunit ribosomal RNA", at positions 355 to 796 of the family's 1533-position model. The record is from RNAcentral.
UGGGGAAUAUUGCGCAAUGGGCGAAAGCCUGACGCAGCGACGCCGCGUGGGGGAGGAAGGCCUCAGGGUUGUAAACCCCUGUCAGGUGGGACGAACCCCGGGUCGUCGAACAGGCGGCUCGACUGACGGUACCACCAGAGGAAGCUCCGGCUAACUCCGUGCCAGCAGCCGCGGUAAUACGGAGGGAGCGAGCGUUGUUCGGAAUCACUGGGCGUAAAGGGCGCGUAGGCGGCCGGGUAAGUCGGUUGUGAAAUGCCGGGGCUCAACCCCGCGCACUGCAUCCGAUACUGCUCGGCUGGAGAGAGGUAGGGGCGAGUGGAAUUCCCGGAGUAGCGGUGGAAUGCGUAGAUAUCGGGAAGAACACCUGUGGCGAAGGCGGCUCGCUGGACCUUUUCUGACGCUGAAGCGCGAAAGCGUGGGGAGCAAACAGGAUUAGAUACCCCCGUAGUCC